This 162-nucleotide long non-coding RNA is filed under the name Anser brachyrhynchus (Pink-footed goose). RNAcentral's name for it is "lncRNA (ENSABRG00000004781.1)". Lineage: Eukaryota; Metazoa; Chordata; Aves; Anseriformes; Anatidae. The record is from RNAcentral.
AAAAAAAAGCUACAAAACUACUACUCUUCUGCACAAUGCAAAGACCCUACUGUGUUCCCAAGAGCCAAAGUCCAUGGUGUCCAAAUCAGCAGAAUUCUCAGUUUUGUCAAUAAGGGGCAGGAGACAGCAUGUGAAGCUACUGAGCCAAGCCAAUGAAGAAAG